AUGUGGCAUCAUCAAGGAAUCCAAAUACCUGAGCAAGCAGCCUCCAAACUAGCAACACUCGAAUCUAAUGAUAGUCAAUCAGACAUCAUUAGAGCAGCAGCAAAGGAAGCUAGGCGGAAAAGGAAAGAGAUCCUCAAGCUGAAAAAGGCAAGCAAACGACUAAGGACAGAAAAGGGCAAUGACUGUGAAGUAUCUCAUGUAGCGAAGGAUGUCACUCAAAUUUCAUAUCUGGGAAAACCAAAUUGUGUUUGUGAAUUUUGCAAUGCCAUUAUGUGGCAUGGAGAGAGAAGCACAAGCACAGGUAACAUCACAGUUCCAAAAUUUGGUCUCUGCUGCAAGGAAGGGAAAGUUAACUUACCACCACUGAAACAAGCUCCGCUGUAUCUCCGACAGCUACUACGUUACAAUGAAAGAGGAGAAUCAUCAAAUUUCUGCAAGAACAUCAGGUUGUACAACUCGAUGUUCGCAUUCACUUCAAUGGGAGGAAAGGUUGACUAUGAAAUUAAUAAGCAGGCAUCUGGACCGUAUGUUUUCCAUUUGAAUGGCCAGAAUUACCAUCAGAUUGGCACUUUACUUCCUAAAGAUGACGUGACGAAGCCAAAAUUUUCCCAAUUGUACAUACAUGACACAGAAAAUGAAGUGCGGAAUAGGAUUAAUGCAUCUGCUUCAAUGGAGAGUAAGACACAACCAGAUGAAAACAUUGUCAAAGGACUACUGGAGAUGCUUGAUGAGCACAAUGUUUUAGUCAAAUCAUUUCGUAUGGCAAGGGACAGAUUCCAAAACCGACGUAUUAAAGAUGUAAGACUAAGAUUGAUCAACAAAAGGUCGAAAGAUGGACGGCAAUAA
RNAcentral lists this ribosomal RNA (846 nucleotides) under Triticum aestivum (bread wheat). Its description in RNAcentral is "partial small subunit ribosomal RNA". The record is from RNAcentral. Lineage: Eukaryota; Viridiplantae; Streptophyta; Magnoliopsida; Poales; Poaceae.